CGCUCUCAGUCCUGUCAUUCAACAACUUAUAUGACACUGGGGCAGGAGUGGUGUUUGGAUGAACACGUGUGGAAAUCGUAACAGAAACUUUUACAUUUAAAGGAAAAAGCCUUGUGUGGCAGGUGUCACCUUAAACUGGAAUCACGUUACAGAGACAAGAGGACAAUUCACCAGCCUACAAACUGGACAAACUAAGGAAUCACUUGUUUCACUGAAGGAGUGUAUGAAGACUGAGGAGCAGACUCAAAACAGUGUCUUUUGAAUCCCAUCAGAAAUGUCUAACUCACCUCAGCCAGAUGAAGAGGUCCCACUGAACACCAUACCAGGGUCAGGUGAAACAUGCGACCAAGUCAUCAGCUGCUCUCCACAGGGUGCCACGUCCUGCUGCAAAGACAAGCACUACAGGAAACUGGCCAUAUGCAGCAUCAUCUGUGGGAUCUCCUGCAUCGGAAUCAAAGCUUUGAUAAAUUCAGUCAAGGCUGAGAAAACAACAGAUCCAGAGGCCGUGGCAACAUAUUCACGACGGGCGAGAAAAUUUGGCAUCAUGUCCAUCGUGCUGUGGGUUGUCUUUCUGGCCUCAUUGCCCAUUCUGCUGGCACUGGUCUCUUACCUGUUCACUCUGAAAGACUGAUCAGCUUUGAUAAAGCCUCUGCGGGAGACAAAAGAAGACAUUUUCAUUUCAGAUGUUUAUGGAGACAGACAGGGGACAGCACAGAGCUGCUUAUCAACUACACACCAUCAAGACAUGAAGAAACCAGCAGUGACAUGAAACAGAAAAAAACCUGCUUCAGCCUUUCCUGUGCUGCUGUCCCAGUUUACACUUUUCUACUUCCUUUUCAGCAUUAAUGUUUUUUAACAUGAGGAACUGCUCAAGAAUAUAGUAUUAAAAAUCUUAGAACUUUUACUUGUCUUCUUAUAUGCUGUUGUAUUUAUUUAACAAUAUAUGGACAAUUGCAAUUCUAAAUGACCAUAGAAAUUCAAACAUUACCUUUAGUUUGAGACAUGACACGACAUGAAACAAAUACCUUUUAUAAUAAAGAUCAGAAUGGUCAUUCCCCAGUAGCGACCCAAUCCUUAGAUGCAUUACAAUUUAACAUACUCGUUUUUAGACACUAGUAAAUAUUUGCCGAUACCACAAAAGUUAAUAAAUUAGUCGACCUGUGAAUAUAAAAAAGUAGCAACAUGAAGCUGUUUGUGAAGGAUUGGGUCUGUACUGGAAAUGGCGUGGCAGCGAUCACGGCAGUGCUUCGUCAGAACAUUAUGAGAUCCUGCUCUCGUCGUGCCAACGCUGUGUUGGCAUUAUUGCAUUGUUACCAUAUUAGCUUUAUUAACGUCAAAUGUAUAAGUAUGCUGUACUUUUAUACAAACAUGUAACAAACAGUUUUAUAAUAAAAUGAGAAAAACCUU
Long non-coding RNA from Toxotes jaculatrix (banded archerfish), 1407 nucleotides. RefSeq lists it as uncharacterized. The transcript has 3 exons. The record is from RefSeq and is a predicted model, not a curated record. NCBI's taxonomy places the organism in Eukaryota, Metazoa, Chordata, Actinopteri, Toxotidae.